GCCGCCCUAGCUCAACGGUAGAGCAUCCGCUUUGUAAGCGGCAGGUUGGGGGUUCGAUUCCUCUGGGCGGCU
This 72-nucleotide transfer RNA is filed under the name Candidatus Roizmanbacteria bacterium RIFOXYA1_FULL_41_12. RNAcentral describes it as "tRNA-Thr". It matches the Rfam family "tRNA". Rfam says of the family: Transfer RNA (tRNA) molecules are approximately 80 nucleotides in length. The record is from RNAcentral. Lineage: Bacteria; Candidatus Roizmaniibacteriota. RNAcentral also lists the same sequence under 5 other names.